GGGGGCGGGCGGCCAGCGCUGCCCGGCGCGGGGGAGGCACCGGCGGCCGCCGGGAGCAGCCGGCUCGGGAGCGCCGCGUCCUCCAGCCGGUCCGGUUGUCCCUGUGCCUGCGAGCCCUCCGCUUGUUUCCCGAAGCUGCUGUGCUGUGAUGCCCCGGAAUGCCUCAUGGCAGAGCCGCCCGGCCGCCCCGCUGGAGCGUGGCGCUGCCCUGUAGGGAGCUGGGUAAGUGAAACCUCAUCCUCGGCAUGCGAAAUGCUGCCUGACCCCACGGCCUGUCCUCACAAACCUGCUCA
RNAcentral lists this long non-coding RNA (293 nucleotides) under Zonotrichia albicollis (white-throated sparrow). RNAcentral's name for it is "lncRNA (ENSZALG00000015579.1)". Lineage: Eukaryota; Metazoa; Chordata; Aves; Passeriformes; Passerellidae. The record is from RNAcentral.